This 280-nucleotide long non-coding RNA is filed under the name Homo sapiens (human). Its description in RNAcentral is "HSALNT0205521". Lineage: Eukaryota; Metazoa; Chordata; Mammalia; Primates; Hominidae. The record is from RNAcentral.
AAGGGCCCGCAGGGCCUCCAGUAGCAAAGCCACUGGCCCCGCGUCCCCGCGUCCCCCUGCGCCGCGCCCCGGGGCGCAGGCAGGGACCACGCGGCCGGCGUGGGGGCGGCGCCACCCGCAGCAGAAAGCCCCGGCGUGGACCGCGUGGCGUAGGAAAGCGCUCCCCUCGCCCCCAGCCGCAGAGGGCUUGGGCAGCAUCGGGCGCGGCCCCGGGAGAGUGCGUCCGCGGCGCCAGCGGCUGCAGGGUGACCUGUUUCGGGCGGGGACACUCACCAGAAGA